RNAcentral lists this transfer RNA (72 nucleotides) under Eudoraea sp. Its description in RNAcentral is "tRNA-Cys". It matches the Rfam family "tRNA". Rfam says of the family: Transfer RNA (tRNA) molecules are approximately 80 nucleotides in length. The record is from RNAcentral. Lineage: Bacteria; Pseudomonadati; Bacteroidota; Flavobacteriia; Flavobacteriales; Flavobacteriaceae.
GGCAUCGUGGCUGAAUUGGAUAGGCUAGGCCUCGCAAAGGCUUACAUAGUGGUUCGAGUCCACUCGAUGCCU